UGAGCAAGUCAGCCUAAUCUAAGGUUAACAACCUGAGAGCGGAGGAACCAAUUUUUGGGGCGCAUUUCUGCUAUUUUUGUGAGGAGAUAGGCAGAGAAGGAUAACUCUCAUUCCUAGCCCGUCAGCUAACUUCGUAGGCAUCGAGAGGAGACUGA
This 155-nucleotide small RNA is filed under the name Phormidium ambiguum. Its description in RNAcentral is "c-di-AMP sequence". It matches the Rfam family "c-di-AMP riboswitch aptamer (ydaO/yuaA leader)". Rfam says of the family: This family represents a conserved RNA structure found upstream of the ydaO and yuaA genes in Bacillus subtilis and related genes in other bacteria. RNAcentral also lists the same sequence under 1 other name. The record is from RNAcentral. Lineage: Bacteria; Bacillati; Cyanobacteriota; Cyanophyceae; Oscillatoriales; Oscillatoriaceae.